RNAcentral lists this ribosomal RNA (407 nucleotides) under uncultured bacterium. Its description in RNAcentral is "partial 16S ribosomal RNA". It matches the Rfam family "Bacterial small subunit ribosomal RNA", at positions 28 to 526 of the family's 1533-position model. The record is from RNAcentral.
GACGAACGCUGGCGGCGUGCCUAAUACAUGCAAGUAGAACGCUGUUGCGAACGGGUGAGUAACGCGUAGGUAACUGCCUCAUAGUGGCGGAUAACUAUUGGUAACGAUAGCUACUAAUGCAUAUUGUGAGAUGGACAUGCGUUGUAUUAGCUAGUUGGUGAGGUAAAGGCUCACCAAGGCGACGAUACAUAGCCGAACUGAGAGGGUGAUCGGCCAAAAGGGGAAAGAGAAACGGGCCAGACUGCUACGGGAGGCAGCAGGAGGGAAAAUUGGGCAAUGGACGGAAGACGGACCGGGCAACGGCGCGAGAGGGGAGGAGGGGUUCGGAGCUGAAAGAUCGGUUGGUAGAGAAGCGGUAACUAAACAGAAAGGGACGGCUAACUACGUGCCAGCAGCCGCGGUAAUUC